Molecule: non-coding RNA, 158 nt
Filed under: uncultured Odoribacter sp.
Lineage: Bacteria; Pseudomonadati; Bacteroidota; Bacteroidia; Bacteroidales; Odoribacteraceae
Source: RNAcentral
AAUUGUAAAUUUUAAAUGGGAAUCCGGUGCAAUUCCGGAGCUGUCCCCGCAGCUGUAAAGUCAAUACUGUCACAACAGAUCUUUUCAAAUACACCCACUGAAACUUAAGUUUUGGGAAGGGGAAAAGAUGAUAAGCCAGAAAACCUGCCAAGGCAAUA